Molecule: ribosomal RNA, 253 nt
Filed under: uncultured bacterium
Lineage: Bacteria
Description: partial 16S ribosomal RNA
Rfam family: Bacterial small subunit ribosomal RNA
Source: RNAcentral
UACGAAGGGUGCAAGCGUUACUCGGAAUUACUGGGCGUAAAGCGCACGUAGGUGGUUUGUUAAGCUAGCUGUGAAAUCCCCGGGCUCAACCUGGGCACUGCAGUUAGAACUGGCAAGCUAGAGUAGGGUAGAGGGGUGUGGAAUUCCAGGUGUAGCGGUGAAAUGCGUAGAUAUCUGGAGGAACAUCAGUGGCGAAGGCGACACCCUGGACUCAUACUGACACUGAGGUGCGAAAGCGUGGGGAGCAAACAGG